UUUGCCGUGAGGCAUGCACUGAAGGCAGCGAGACUGCAAACCCCGGUUCCAACGAACAGGAACUGGAUACUGAGGCCUGGCAGGUCGGAUGAGGUAACACAACAUACUGACGUCCAAAGGGUGGGAAACCACCAAGUACCUGUCCGGUAGAUCCAGUGGAUAUUGGGGGAAGGAAUAUGCC
Molecule: non-coding RNA, 181 nt
Organism: Lunatimonas lonarensis
Lineage: Bacteria; Pseudomonadati; Bacteroidota; Cytophagia; Cytophagales; Cyclobacteriaceae
Source: Rfam